Molecule: ribosomal RNA, 785 nt
Filed under: uncultured sediment bacterium
Lineage: Bacteria
Description: bacterial SSU rRNA
Rfam family: Bacterial small subunit ribosomal RNA
Source: RNAcentral
AGAGUUUGAUCAUGGCUCAGGACGAACGCUGGCGGCGUGCUUAAGACAUGCAAGUCGAACGAGAAAGCCUCUUCGGAGGUUAGUAAAGUGGCGCACGGGUGAGUAACACGUGGGUAAUCUGCCCUUAGGUUUGGGAUAACCCCGGGAAACCGGAGCUAAUACCGAAUAAGACCACGAUGACUUCGGUCGAUGUGGGAAAAGGUGGCCUCUUCUUGAAAGCUAUCACCAGAGGAUGAGCCUGCGUCCCAUCAGCUUGUUGGUGAGGUAACGGCUCACCAAGGCGACGAUCAAUAGCUGAUCUGAGAGGAUGAUCAGCCACACUGGAACUGAGACACGGUCCAGACUCCUACGGGAGGCAGCAGUCGGGAAUAUUGGGCAAUGGGCGAAAGCCUGACCCAGCAACGCCGCGUGAAGGAUGAAGGCCCUAGGGUCGUAAACUUCUGUCGAGAGGGAAGAAUGCUUGCGGGUUAAUAUCCCGUAAGUUUGACGGUACCUCCAAAGGAAGCACCGGCUAACUCCGUGCCAGCAGCCGCGGUAAUACGGAGGGUGCAAGCGUUGUUCGGAUUUAUUGGGCGUAAAGCGAGUGUAGGCGGUUUGACAAGUCGAAUGUGAAAUCCCGAGGCCCAACCUCGGAACUGCAUCCGAAACUGUCAGGCUAGAGUCCCGGAGAGGAUGGCGGAAUUCCCGGUGUAGGGGUGAAAUCCGUAGAUAUCGGGAGGAACACCAGUGGCGAAGGCGGCCAUCUGGACGGUGACUGACGCUGAGACUCGAAAGCGUGGGUAGCA